CUAUAUAAAAUUAUACAAGGUUAUGCAUAGAUUCUGGUAUUGGAACAUGGAUCGAAUACUUGCCUAUCCAUAUCCAUAUUUAUUUUUCUUCGAUGAAUAUAAAUAUGAAUACGGUAUUGUUAUGGGUACAUCCUAGCCUCAGUGUUGUGCAACUUCGGAUGACACCGAACUAACCAGAGGUCGUACCUCGACUAUAACUGAAGACAAAGG
This 210-nucleotide long non-coding RNA is filed under the name Elaeis guineensis (African oil palm). Its description in RNAcentral is "long non-coding RNA (EGUI_LNC050712)". Lineage: Eukaryota; Viridiplantae; Streptophyta; Magnoliopsida; Arecales; Arecaceae. The record is from RNAcentral.